This 495-nucleotide long non-coding RNA is filed under the name Triticum aestivum (bread wheat). RNAcentral describes it as "long non-coding RNA (TAES_LNC003057)". The record is from RNAcentral. Lineage: Eukaryota; Viridiplantae; Streptophyta; Magnoliopsida; Poales; Poaceae.
CUCUAACAAAGUUACUACUCCCUCCGCCGUAAGAUUUUCAAAACAUACGGAACAGCGGGAGUAGUUUAAUCCUUAGUUCGCCAUAAGUCAGAAACCCGUCAUGAAAACAAAAUACGAAGGCAAGCGGAGAAAUAAAUAUUUCAGGGGACAAGAGCAAUAGCAGCAUAUCACCAGAUGUAACUAACAUUAACAGAAAAGCAGGCAGCAGCAAACGCAGUUCACACACACAAAGCUCACAUCCAACACCACGUACUGCAGUAGCAUCCAACAUAACGAACGGGAUAAACUUUAGGGUAAAAGACUGGUACAAGUGCUCGCUUAGUCGACCUCCUCGAUCUUGGGGCCAGCGCCGCCGGCAGCCGGAGGCGCAUCGUCCUCGUCCAUGCCACCCGCCAUGUCAGCUCCGGCACCCUGGUACAUCUUGGCGAUUAUGGGGUUGCAGAGGCCCUCCAGCUCCUUCAUCUUGUCGUCAAACUCAUCUGCCUCAGCAAGCUG